This is a non-coding RNA of Podarcis lilfordi (Lilford's wall lizard), 86 nucleotides long. The record is from the annotation of a GenBank genome assembly. NCBI's taxonomy places the organism in Eukaryota, Metazoa, Chordata, Lepidosauria, Squamata, Lacertidae.
GAUAGCUCAGUUGGUAGAGCAUGAGACUCUUAAUUUCAGGGUUGUGGGUUCCUGCUCGACAUUGAGUGAAAGAUUCCUGUAUUGCA